Mirounga angustirostris (Northern elephant seal) is the source of this 9044-nucleotide RNA transcript. It is a transcript of the gene named mitochondrial ribosomal protein L42, with no coding region annotated. The record is from RefSeq and is a predicted model, not a curated record. Lineage: Eukaryota; Metazoa; Chordata; Mammalia; Carnivora; Phocidae. The transcript has 7 exons.
GCGUGAAGCGGUGUCUUCUAGGACCCGGAUUGAGGUAAAAUGGCGGGCUCGUGGUGAACGGCUGUCAGGGAUGAAAAUAGGUAUACCUGCAAGAAGAUUUUAAAAUCAGUUUCUCUUCAAAUCAUCUUCUUUCUCACCACCUAAUAAGCAUCUUGAUUCACCAUGGCGUUAGCAGCAGUAAAAUGGGCGAUAUCAAACAGAGCUAUCUGGAAACAUUUAUUUCCAAUUCAAAACGGAGCUUUAUAUUGUGUUUGUCAUAAAUCUACGUAUUCUUCUCUACCAGAUGACUAUAAUUGCAAAGUGGAGCUUGCUUUGACAUCGGAUGGCAGGACAAUAGUAUGCUACCACCCUUCUGUGGACAUUCCAUAUGAACAUACAAAACCUAUACCUCGGCCAGAUCCUGUGCAUAAUAAUGAAGAAACACAUGACCAAGUGCUGAAAACCAGAUUAGAAGAAAAAAAUGAGCAAUUUGAGCAAGGACCCAUGAUAGAACAACUUAGCAAAAUGUUCUUUACUACUAAGCACCGUUGGUAUCCUCGUGGACAGUUUUAUUUAUUUGAGAGAGAGCACAUGAGAGGGGGGAGGGUCAGAGGGAGAAGCACACUCCCUGCCGAGCAGGAAGCCCGAUGUGGGACUCGAUCCAGGGACUCCAGGAUCACGACCUGAGCCGAAGGCAGUUGCUCAACCAACUGAGCCACCCAGGCGCCCAUAUUCACAGCUUCUUGAAGGUAUCAUAGACGUCGUAGGAAACUGGAUCCUCCAAAAGACAGAUGAUACUGAGGUUUUCAGGAAUUAAAAAGAUGUUAUCUUGUGUCUCAUUUGCCAUUUGAGAAAAUGCAAUUGAGUAUAUUUACUAAUAUGUUAUAUAGCAAAAUAAUAAAAUGUCUUCAUGUAUUAGCAUGUAUAUUUCUUUAUAUAAAUUAGGGAAUUGUGGAUUUGACAUUCUUACUUACAGAAACCUACUUCAUCUUACUUUGCUUUUGAGAUAUUAAGAUCUACCAUUUAUUUUUAUGUGUCUAGUGUGAUUAUUUUUACAUUAUCAGCCAAAUAUUGUUAGUAUUAAUAGAAAUAUGCAUGGCUCUCCUUCUCAAGGAGAUUUUUAAAUUGCUUUUGAAAAGAAACUCAUGAGGUCCACCCAGAAAAUAAACGUUACAAUUCUUUCUUGUGGCUUCUAGGAAAUAAUUAAAUUACGGUUGACCCUUGAACAACUCCAGUUUGAAUCGUGUGGGUCCAUUUAUACACAGAUUUUUUUUUUUAAAUAAAUAUAGUCCAGUACUGUAAAUGUAUUUUCUCUUUCUUAUGAUUUUCUUAGUAACAUUUUCUUCUCCCUAGCUUUAUUGUAAGAAUACAAUAUAAAAUACAUAUAACAUGUAAAAUAUAUGUUAACUGACUAUGUUAUUAGUAAGGCUACCAGUCAACAGUAGGCCAUUAGUAAUUAAGUUUUGGGGGAGUCAAAGUUAUAGAUGGACUUUUGACUGCAUGGCAGGUUGGUAUCUCUAACUCCCUUGUUGAUCAAGGGUCAACUGUAGGUACAUUUUAAUUAGUUCCGUCUGCUGGGUCCUUUAUAUACAUCAUUAUUAAAUUCUCACAAUAAUCCUUUAAAGAUAGAGCAUCAUCCCCAUUUUAUGGGUAGGGCCAAGUGACUUGAACCCUAUCUACUUAGCAAGUGGGAGAGCCAAAAAUCCAAAUGGUCAGGCCCCAAAGCUUUUUUACAGUGCAUUACAGUGACAAAGGGGUAUUCUCUUUCACCCAAGAAUAUACUUUCCUAGAAAGAAAGUACAUUUUGCUUACAAAUUAUAAAUUUGUUUUGAGAUUUUUUUUUUACUGGCUCUUUAAAAAAUUAUGCUAGCUUCAGAACACAUGCAGCUCUGGUUAAAAUGUUAAUAUCACUAAACUAGUGUUAUGAGAACGUUAAUAGAUUAUUCUGCUGUUGAUUGUCACUACCACUUUAUAUGUGAUCCUUGAUGGCAUUACUGCCCCUGUGAUUUCUAUUUAGGAGGUGAGGAAUCUCUUAAGAAGGUGGAGAAAUGUUUUAUUCAAACUUGUAAAAUAUUUGUGGUAUUUUAAAAUUUGAUGUGAAAGAUGAUUUCAGUGAAGGGAAAUUGAAAUGAAAUUCACUGAAAUGAAACUUCAUUUAAAGUCUGUUGUUGAAUCUAGUUCUUUUAAUAAAGGAACUCUAGCUGAAGGUUUUUUAGUAGAAUCUAUGGAAUAAUAAAUAGGGAAGAGUAAGGGAAAUAAUUAAUAAUGGCCACCCUCUGUUAUCAAAACGAAAUGUCUUUUAGUGGCUUACUUUUUCAUUAAUAUAUUGGGGGGGAAAGAUUAAAGAAAAACAAGUUGAUAGAACUUAGUAAUCAGAAAGUUUUACCAGACAUGUUUAAUGACAUUGAAAAAUGGUUAAAUUUUUUUCAGGUUGAUUUAUAUCCUAAUUUUUAUAAAGAUUAAGAUAUGCCACAUUUUAAAAGUAGGGAGAAUAAAGAAUUGAAUUAAAUAAAAAAUUUUUUUCUAAGUACAAAGAUGAACUAAAUGGAGAUUGUUCAACUGUAGGAUUCUUAAACCACACAUCCGCAUGUCAAAGCUUUGGAGAAUUAACUUCAAUCUUACUGUAUUAGAAAUACAGAUCAAUACUGUAGUUGCUGGAAUUUUGGUUUUCAUGGAUUGCUGUUAUUUAGUUUUGCUAAGUAAGUACAUAUUCUAUCACCACCAUCACCUCCUUUCUGCUCCUUCCAUUCCCUACUACCCCAGGGGUACUUAUCUGCUAUCACUAACAUUUUAUUAAAUGUCCACUUUUUUGUCUCCUUUUUCCCUGAAACUUAAAAACUACAUAAGGUGGGACGGUCCUUUAAAUGGAAUUAAUUUAGCUUCAUGAAAAAUUCACUACCCAGUUUUUUUUUUUUAACUACCCAGUUCUCAUGUGUCCAUUGGUGAGGUGGAUCAACAGGUUAGGCUGAUAAAAAGCACUAUCAGUGAAACCACCAGAGGGCACUCUCACAUAGUGUUCAAUUCAAACGUUGCUCACCCAAAGGUAGUAACUUAAAGUGCUUAAUUACCAAAGAAUAUUUGGAUGUUCUUUAGGUAAGAAUGACUAGUAGAAAAAAUGGCAGUAGUGAACUCAUUAUUUAUUCUGUUGAUCUAGUUGUAAAGCAUUUACCAAACCCGUAAAACAUACGAAGAGGCAUUAUACUUUUUGCUAACCCAAUAGCAAAAAAAUGGUCCCUUCUAAGGAUGAUUGUGUCUACUUUACUAGGAUCUACUGAGGUACUUAAUUUUUAUAAUGAUUUUUCUUAACCAUGAACAUAAUGCAUUAUUUUUUAAUUAAAAAAUAGAUAAAUAGAAAAUAGAAAUUACCCAUAAUUGUCCCUUGUAAAGAUAACACUAAAAUUUUUGCUUUCCUUCUUCCAUUUUACUUCACUGCAUAACUAUAUUUCAGAAAAUAAAAGUAGUAUUAAUUAUGCAUGCUAUUUUAUAACUUGCUUUUUUUCAUUUAAUAUAAUUGAUUUUUUUGCCAUAUCAUUAAAUACUCUCAUGUAACAAAUGCAUAGUAUUGUAUAAUCUGAUUGUUAUAAUUAAUUCCCUACUUUUAGACAUAAUCAUUUUUUCUGUUUGUCCCCUAUUAUAAAUAAUGCUGUUAUUAACAUCCUGCUGGAUACUUUUCCUUUUUUCUAAGAGACUUUAUUUUUAGGGGCACCUGAAUGGUGCAGUUGGUUAAAUGUCUGACUUGCUUUCAGCUCAGGUCAUAAUCUCAGGGUCUGUGCUCAGUGCAGAUUCUCUCCCUCUCCUUCUGCCCGCCCCCCCCCAAACAAAUACAUCUUAAAAAAAAAAAAAGUAAAAGACUUUAUUUUUUAGAACAGUUUUAGGUUCACAGCAAAAUUAAAUGGAAGGUACAGAUAUUUCCCAUAUCCCCACACAUGCAUAGCUUCCCCCUUAUCAAUAUCACCCACCAGGAUAAUACAUUCGUUACAGUUGAUGUACCUAUAUUGACACAUCAUCACCCAGAGUUCAUAGUUCACAUUAGGGUUCACUCUUGGUGUUGUGCAUUCUUUGGGUUUUGACAAAUACAGAAUGGCAUAUGUCUACCAUUACAGUAUCUAUAGCAUAGUUUCAUUGCCUUAAAAACCCCUAAAACUGGUGUCUGCCUAUUCAUUUUCUUUUCCUUCCUAAUUCCAGAUCAGAGGUUUCUGAUCUUUCUUGUCUUCAUAGUUUUGCCUUUUCCAUAAUGUUAUAUGUUAGAAUCAUACAGAAUGUAGCAUUUUUAGAUUGGUUUCUUUCACUUACUAGUAUGUCUUUUCAUAUCUUGAUAGCUAAUUUCUUUUUAGUGCUGAAAAAUAUUCCAUUGUCUGGAUAUACCACACUUUAUCCAUUCACCUACUGAAGGGUAUAUAUUCAUAUAUUGAAGGGUAUAUUGGUUCCUCCCAAAUUUGGGAAUUGUAAAUAAAGCUGCUAUAAACAUCUGUGCACAGGUAUGUGGACAUAAGUUUUCAGCUCCUUUGAGUAAAUGCCAAGGAGCAUGAUUACUGGAUUGUAAGGUAAGAAUAUGUUUAGUUUUGUAAGAAACUGCCCAGGUUGCUUCCAAAAUGGCUGGAGCAUUCUACAUUCCCUCCAACAGUGAAUAAGAGUUUCCAUUGCUCCAUAUCUUCACCAGCAUUUGGUGAUGUCAGUGUUUUUAGAUGUUGGCCAUUCUAAUAGGUGUGUAGUGGUAUCUUAAUUGUUUUAAUUUGCAUUUCUUUGAUAUAUUGCCUGUAGAGCAUCUUUUCAUAUGCUUAUUUGCCAUCUGUAUAUCUUCUUUGGUGAAGUGUCUGUUGUUAAGGUCUUUGGUCCAUUUUUUAAUUGGGUUAGUUGUUUUCUUAUUGUUGAGUUUUAAGAGUCUUUUUGUAUAUUUUAUAUAUCAGUCUUUUAUUAGAUAGGUGUCUUACAUAUAUUUUCUCCCACUCUGUGGCUUGCCUUUUCAUUCUCUUCACAGUGUCUUUUCACAGAGAAGAAAUUUUUAAUUUUCCUUAAGUCUAGUUUAUCAGUUUUUUCUUUCACGGAUCAUGCCUUUGAUAUUGUAUCUAAAAAGUUAUCACCAAACCCAAGAUCAUCUAAAUUUUCUCCUAUGUUCUGAAAGUUUUAUAUUUUAUAGUUUUGCAUUUUACAUUUAGGUCUGUGAUCUUUGUGUGUGUGUGUGGUCCAUUUUGAGUUAAUUUUUAGGAAGGAUAUAAGGUCUGUGCCUAGAUUCUUUUUUUUUGCACGUGGAUGUGUGGUUGUUCCAGCUCCAUUUGUUGAAAAGACUGUCUUUGCUUCAUUGUAUUGCAUUUACUCCUUCAUCAAAAAUACAUUGACUAUUUUUGUGUGGCUCUAUUUUUUAGGCUCCCCUGUUCUAUUCUUUUGAAAUAUUUUGUCUAUUAGUUCAGUAGUACCACAAUCUCUUGAAAAUUGUAGCUUUAUAGUAAGAGUUGAAAUAAGAUAGUGUCAGUCUUCUUCAAUACUGGAGGAUUAUAUUAAUUGAUUUUUGAAAGUUGAACAAGCCUUACAUACCUGGCAUAAAUCCCAUUUGAUCAUGGUGCAUAAUUCUCUUUUAUACUUUUUUUAAAUUUGAUUUGCUAAUACUUUGUUGAGGAUUUUUGCAUCUAUAUUCAUUUUACUUAGGUAUUGGCUUGUAGUUUUCUCUUCUGGUAAUGUCUUUGGUUUUGGUAUUAGGGUAAUGUUGGCCUCAUGAAAUGAGUUAGGAAGUAUUCCCUCUGCUCUGUGUUCUGUAAAAGAUAGUAGAGAAUUGGUAUUAUUGCUCCCUUAAAUGUUUGGUAGAAUUCACAUCUGGGCUUGGUGCUUUAUGUUCUGUGGAAGGUUAUUACUGAUACAAUUUCCUUAUUUAUUUAUUUAUUUAUUUAUUUAUUUAUUUAUUUAUUUAUUUAUUGACUGACUGACUGACUGACUGACUGACUUUAUUUGACAGAGAGAGAGAGCGCGCAAGCACAAGCAGGGGGAGCGGCAGGCAGAGGGAGAAGGAUCCUGAUGCAGGCUAGCAAAGAGCCUGAUGUGGGACCCUGGGAUCAUGACCUGAGCCAAAGGCAGAUGCUUAACUGACUAAACCACCCAGUUGUCCCAAUGCAAUUUCUUUAAUAGAUACAGGCUUAUUUAAGUAGUCUAUAUCUUGUGUGAAUUUUGCCAGAUUGUGUCUUUCAUAGAAUUGGUCCACUUCAUCUAAAUUAUCUGUGGUAUAGAGUUAUCCAUGGGAAUUGUAGUAUCAGCAAUUUGUGUCUCUUUUUUUCUUAGCCUGGCUAGUGGCUUAUUAUUUUUUAUUUAUCUUUACAAAGAACCAGCUUUCGGUUUUAUCAAUUUUUUCUGUUGAUUUCCUGUUUUCAUUUUCAUUGAUUUCUACUCUAAUUCUUAUUAUUUCUUUUUUUCUGCUUACUUUGGAUUUAAUUUGCUCUUCUUUUUCUAGUUCCCUAAGGUGGAAACUUAGAUGGUUAAUUUUAGAUAUUUCUCUGGAUCUAACCCAUAUAGUCGCCUGGGUGGCUCAGAUGGUUAUGCGUCUGCCUUCGGCUCAGGUCAUGAUCCCAGGGUCUUGGGAUUCAGCCCCACAUCGGGCUCCUGACUCCGCGGGGAGUCUGCUGCUUCUCCCUCUGCCUCUCCCACUGCUCAUGCUCUCUCUCUCUCUGUAUCUCUGUGUCUCAAAUGAAUAAAUAAAACCUUUAAAAAAAAAAAAUCUUCCCUUUAAGCAUGGCUUGCACUGCAUCCCACAAAUUUUGAUAAGUUUUAUUUUAUUUUCAUUUAGUGCAAAAUACUGUUUAAUUUCUCUUGAUAUUUCUUCUUUGACUCGUGUUAUUUAGCAGUGUGUUAUUUAAUCUUCAGGUAUUUGGGAUUUUCCAGCUGUCUUUCUGUAAAUGAUUUCUAGUUUAAUCCCAUUGUGGUCUGAGAGCAGACAUUGUGUGAUUUCUAUUUUAAGUUUGGUAAGUUGUCUUAUAUGGCCAGGAAUGUGGUCUAUAUUAGUGAAUGUUCCAUGUGAACUUGAGAAGAAUAUAUAUUCUACUGUUGUUGGUUGAGGUAAUCUCUAGAUGUCCGUUAUAUCUAGUUGACUGAUGGUGUUGUUGAGUUUAGCUAUGUCCUUACUGAUUUCCUGCCUGCUGGAUCUGUCCAUUUCUGAUAGAGCGGAUUAAAGUUUGCAAUUACAGUACUGCAUUCAUCUAUUUCUCCUUGCAGUUUUAUCAGUUUUUGCCUCACAUAUUUUGACAUUCUGUUGUUAGGUGCAUACACAUUAACGGUUGUUAUGUCUUCUAGAAAAAUUACCCUUUUAUCAUUAUGUAAUGCCCUUCUUUUCCCUGAUAGGGUUCCUUGCUCUGAAGCUUGCUCUGUCUGAAAUUAAUAUAGCUACUCCUGCUUUCUUUUGAGUAGUAUUAGUAUAGUAUAUCUUUCUCUCUCUCCCUUUACUUAUUUUUAAAAAGAUUUUAUUUAUUUAUUUUGACAGAUAGCGAGUGAGGGAACACAAGCAGGGGGAGUGGGAGAGGGAGAAGCAGGCUUCCCCCUGAUCAGAGAGUCCGAUGUGGGGCUCUAUCCCAGGACCCUGGGAUCAUGACCUGAGCCGAAGGCAGAUGCUUAACGACUGAGCCACCCAGGUGCCCCUCUCUCUCCCUUUAUUUUUAAUCUAUGUGUGUUUUUCCAUUUUAAGUGGGUUUCUUACAGACAACAAAGAAUUAAGUCUUGUUUUUAAUCUACUCUAACAAUCUCUGUCUUCUAAUUGAUGCAUUGGGACCAUUGACAUUCAAAGUGAUUAUUGAUAUAGUUGGGUUAUUAUCCACUAUAUUUGCUACUGUUUUCUGUUUGUUGCCCUUGUUCUUUGUUUCUAUUUUUGUGUUUUACUCUUUUUCUGCCUUUUGUGGUUUUGAUUAUAUGAUUCUGUUUCCUCUCCUUUCUUAGCACAUCUGUUAUUCUUUUUUUUUUUUUUUUCCUUAAGGCCUUCCCUACAUGCCAGGCCCUGUUGUAAUACACUUAUUUUUUUUUAAUCUUUUUUAGUGGUUGCCCUAGAGUGGUUGCAUAUAUACAUUUGCAACUAAGCCAAGUCCACUUUCAAGUAACACUAUAUUGUAUCAUGGGCAGUACAAGUACUUUAUAAUAACAAAAUAAUCCUAAUUCCUCCCUCCUGUCUCUUGUAUCAUUCCUGUCAUUCAUUUCUCAUACAUAAGCAUAUAUACAUAUAAUCAGAUACACUGCUGCUAUUUUUUAAAAAUAAUUUUUUAUUUUUAAGUAAUCUCUACACCCAACAUGGGGCUCGAACUCACAAUGCCAAGAUCAAGAAUUGCAGGCUCCACCAACUGAGCAGCCCAGUGCCCCUGUUGCUAUUUUUUAAACAAACUGUUAAUGUUAGAUCAGUGAAGAAUAAGAAAAGUUAAAGUUUGUGUUUUACCUGCACUUGUUUCUUCUUCAUUGCUUUUUCUCUGUGUAGAUCUGAGUUUCUGACCUGUAUCAUUUUCUUUUCCUCUAAAGAACUACUUUUAAUAUUUUUUUGCAAGACAGGUCUAGUGACAACAAAUUCUUUAAAUUUUUGUUUGAGAAAGUUUUUAUUUCUCCCUCACUUUUGAAGGAUAAUAUUGCAGGGUAGAGAAUUCUAGGUUGGUAGGGUUUUUUUUGCUCUCAAUGCUUUAAAUAUUUCUUUCCAUUCUCUUCUUGCCCCCAUGGUAUCUGAAGGAAGUUAGAUAUAGUUCUUAACUCCAGAGCACUUAAUCAAAGUUUUUAAUUAAGCAUUUGUGUGUGUAUGAUUAUUUGAUAAAUAUCCAUCUUAUCUACUGGACUGUAAACUCUAACUUGCAAGGUCCCUGACUGGCUAUGUAUACCACUGUGUCCCCAGUGCUUAAUAUGGGCUGGUACAUUCAUUGUACCACAGACAUAUGAUUUUAUAAAAGAAUUGCUAUAAUGCAGAGGAUUAAAGCCCUCUCAUUUCAUGAAUGGGAUUAGGGGUUGCGGGGUAUCUAUGAAACUCCUGAAGUUGUGUAGAAUUUUUGAGAAUAUGUAUCUUGUGUGUUUUCCUGGGAAUAGAAUCUGUGGUUUUUCAGUUCAUUAAAGGCUAUUUCAAAAUA